CCCUUUUAGCUAGUGGCAUGACAUAUGUCACAAUGGUUUUUUGCUGCAUCAUGUGCAAAACUUACAUUUGGAACUGCGCCAUUAUGAGUUACCUUGUUAAUUUCUUGGAGCAAGUUAGACUUUUUUUUUCUCUUGUGAUUGUGACUGUAGUCUACUUUUUUUUUUAAGGAAUGACAUAUUUACAGUAGUCUACUUAGUCUGCUAAUGAGCAACUUGACUGAUUCAUAUACAAAUUAAACAGGCUGCCAUAACUUGUAUCCCUGCAUCUUAACUGAUUAGCAAUACAUUGUUCAUUCAUGUGAGUGUGAUCAUGCUAGCUUGCUCUAGUACUCUGCAACUGCAAGAGCGUUCCUUACAAGUAAUGUGCUCUAUCUCUGGCCUAUCGUCUAUACAGCUAGAACAAUGCAUCACCGUCGAAUAAUUGUAAGUGGAUGAUUCUCCGCAUUGCCUUCCUCUAAUCUACACUCGUACAUGUGACCAACCAUAUGACAGCGAUUUAAUACUAGUUCGUACACGCUACAUGUUUUAGGUAUUUAGAGCAAUGCAAGAUAUAUUUGCUGAAUUAGUUAGUGUGAACAUGUUUGGAAUGACGGUGUGCCAUGCCUCGUGCUCCCGUAGUCGUACCCACAUCGACUAACUAAUUGCCCAUUUUCAGCUGUCCUUACUCUGUGUUUGGAACUA
This 681-nucleotide long non-coding RNA is filed under the name Sorghum bicolor (sorghum). RNAcentral describes it as "long non-coding RNA (SBIC_LNC013274)". Lineage: Eukaryota; Viridiplantae; Streptophyta; Magnoliopsida; Poales; Poaceae. The record is from RNAcentral.